Molecule: non-coding RNA, 77 nt
Organism: Candidatus Burkholderia verschuerenii
Lineage: Bacteria; Pseudomonadati; Pseudomonadota; Betaproteobacteria; Burkholderiales; Burkholderiaceae
Source: Rfam
UCGAGCUGUAUGCGGGGAAACUCGCACGUACAGUUCCUAGGGGGCCCCUUUUCCGUAAGGAAAGGGGGCUACCCUAC